Corticium candelabrum is the source of this 3208-nucleotide RNA transcript. It is a transcript of the gene named EF-hand calcium-binding domain-containing protein 6-like, with no coding region annotated. The record is from RefSeq and is a predicted model, not a curated record. NCBI's taxonomy places the organism in Eukaryota, Metazoa, Porifera, Homoscleromorpha, Homosclerophorida, Plakinidae. The transcript is spliced from 26 exons.
GCUAGUGUUUCUACUUACUGCUUCAAGUAUUGCAUUUCUGAGUUAUGGCUGCAAAGUUCUGUUGAGGAGUUUGGCCUUCUAGAUCUUAAUAGUGAAAUAUAGCAGUUUGGCGCAACUAUCUACCAAAUUGGUACUACUAAUGGCAUUAUUGUCAUAACACUUUGAUCAUACCUAACGUGGCAAGCACAUUUGAAAGUCUAAUCUUCUUUCAAUCUGGUGUUUACCAUACGUACUAUUAGCAACACUUGUCACGUGUUGGCCACACGUCUUCAUUCCAAAGCUAAUUUGAUUUCAUUUGGAGCCAAUCGCUGAAGCCGUUGCCCGCAACGACGGUGUGUUAGGAACCGUCCUGGCGUGUGCUGGUGGGAUCAUAUUUCAUCAACUACAGCAAUGGCUUCAAGUGCCACGUUUGCUAGGCCCGAGACUGCUGCUCUGCCUGGACGCUAUGGAUCUACCUGCAUGCCUCACUUGCCACAAAUUGAACAUCCCAUGUCAAGGCUUGGUGACAGGAAAAAACUUACAGUGCAAGGUAUUCAUUCUGCCGGAGACAAGCGGCGACCAGCUACGUCAAACGGAGUCAUGGCUACUGAAAAUGACGUUCAUCAACACCAAUCAGGCCGUUUGUUUCCUCCAUUAAACAGCCAUUCUUUAGAAACAGUGCCAGAAGAUGGAAAAGUUCAAGCUCCAGCUGUAUAUCCUCAAGAACUUCCUGCCAGUCGAGCUGUCAGUCACAAAAGCCAUCUCCGUCCAUUAACACAAUCUGCAGGACGAGAACGAACUGUACAAGAGUUAGAAUCAGCUCUUCGUGAAAAAUUUCGAACCGGUAGCUUUUAUCAGAUCAGACAUGCAUUUAGGACAUUUGAUGCUACAGGGCAUGGAGCAGUGAGCAAAGAAGCAUUGUUUCGGAUCAUUGUAAAUGUUUUUCCUUUCACAAGUCAUGCCACAUUUCGCAAGCUGCUGGAAAGGCUUGGUUUGGACAAAAAAACUGCUAUUACAUUUGACGACUUUUAUGCACAGUUUAGGAAGCAAGAGCCUGCUCAACCAAAAUGGCUUGAUCCAGUGUCUAGACAUGGUCCUCGGUUCUUGACAGCAUUUCAAGUGCAUCAGCAACUAAAGGAAAAAGCUCGACAGAAAUUUGUAACAAUGGGAGAAUUGUUUCCAAGUGGAAAACUAGAUGGACGAGUCAUUAAACUUGAGUUGAAAAGUAUGCUCAAUCAGCUGUCACUUCCUGUUGAUGAUGAGGAAUUUGAAAAGUUGUGGCAAAGGUAUGAUACUGAAGGACGUGGUGUUGUUCAAGUGGAAAAAUUAAUGGCUAAGCUGGGAAUAGAGCUUAAGGAAUCAACUACACAAGAUUCAAAGACUUCUUUUGGGAAAGACAAAGGAAACCCUGGGGUUAAAAGGUUUCAUGAUGGAAAACAAAAAGAUUCAAAGCGACAAAGUUUAAAUAAUGGUGGUUCUUCUGAUGUCGAAAACAUGAUGCGAAGUCAAUUAAACAAUGGAUUUAUACGAAUGAAAAAUACUUUUGAGAAGGUGGAUGUGAGAAAAACAGGAAAAGUAAGCAGUGAUGAACUACGUCAAGUUCUUGGUCAGUUUGGCAUAAAGUUGUCGCCUCAUGAAUGCAGUGAUCUGCUGACACGGUGUGGUGUUGCUGGUUCUAAUCUAUUCAGCUAUCAUCAGUUUUUAUAUCGGUUUUUGGAUCGUUCUGAAGGAAGUCUAACUAAUGCAAUUUUAACUGACCCUCAACAUGAAUUCAAUUAUUCUAAUUCAAAAUCGACGGCUUUGACGGCUUCAGCUGCUGAAUCGUCACUUAUGAACUUGCUGCAAGGAGAUUUUCUGUCUCUGCUGGGAACAUUCCAGGCGUUGGAUCGUGAUGGGACGGGUGCUGUUAGUCAGAAGGAUUUCAGAACCAUUCUUGAAGGGCAUUUAAAGUGGACAUUAACUGAUACCCAGUUUUUGCACCUUCUCAAAGAUGUUCAUCUGACAAGUGAUGGGUUGGUGCUGUAUGCCGAGUUUCUUUCAAAAUUUGAUCGCGGCAACACAAGGGCUAUCUUUCCAUUACCAGAUGAACGAAGCCAAGAUGAAGGAAGGAGUAUUGAAGAGGUGGAAGCAUACAUUCGGUCUACAUUGAAACCACAUUAUACACAAAUAUUCAAGACACUUGAAGAGUUGGAUGGCACAAAUUCUGGGCAUCUGACACAAGACUUGCUGUGGGAGCUGUUUCACAGAUUUCAAGUUGAGAUCAGCUAUGGGGAAAUGUCACGACUCUGGCCUCGGUUUAUCAAAGCAGCAAAUGAAACACUUGAUUUUCAUGAAUUUAUGAGACACUUUGGGCUCAAAGUUAAAUCAGCAGGAGUGAAUAAACGGCAGCAAAGUUUGGGUAAACGCUGGACUGAGGAUCAUUGUUAUCAGAGGUCUAGAACUCUUCACAGAGAAGAAGAUAUGGUUGAACAGUCACUGAAGGCAAAAGUGACGUAUUACUACUCUAGUGUAUGGAAGCGUUUUGUUGCACUGGAUCCAAAUGGUACUGGAAUGGUUGACAAAACAGGUUUUCAGGAAGUGAUUCAGAACUUGGUGCCAGAAAUGACUGUUCUUGAAAUUGACCAACUGGGAAAGAGAUAUGAUCCUUACAGGGAUGGCAGGGUUAAUUAUCUUACAUUUCUGGAGCCAUUCAAGCCAUCGAGCCAGACCUAUCGUGUUGGUAAUAAUCUAGGAUCACUGCUUUCACAUAGAAGUAGAGAUGCUACUGAUGAAUUGAAGCCAGUACAACUUGUGGCUGAAAAACCAACAAAAGGAGUUCCUGGUCUUAUUGGGAGUCUAAGGAACAAGAUUUUCCUAAAAUGGAGAAAUAUCUGCCGAUCAUUUAAAACUCUGGAUACUUCUGCAACUGGGAAACUGAGUCAGGAUGAAUUUUCUGCUGUCUUGAAGCUAUCAGGAAUCUUUCUAACGGAGCAAGAGCUUUCCGUGAUUGUUUCCGAGUUUAGAGAUGCAGAGGGCAAUGGUAUUUGCUAUAAAGAGUUUCUCAACACAAUAAGGGCUACAUGACUGAGCUGUCAGAACUAUACGUAGGUAGUACUGUGGUAUAUGUAAUAAGAUGUGCAUUUAGUGACUGUACAAUUAAGGAAAUCGCUUUAUUGCUCUCUGAAUUGAAGUGCUCUGUAUGUAUACAUUUGAAUUCUCCACAUGUUGUCUACAUAAUGGCAGAUUCAGA